GAAUCUGGAAAGUAGCGAUGCGCUCACCGAAGGAGUAAGGGAUUUAUCCUGAAUCUCUCAGGUCAAUGACAGA
Molecule: non-coding RNA, 73 nt
Filed under: marine eukaryotic metagenome
Description: Glycine riboswitch
Rfam family: Glycine riboswitch aptamer
About the family: This family represents the bacterial glycine riboswitch. Glycine riboswitches usually consist of two metabolite-binding aptamers domains with similar structures in tandem.
Source: RNAcentral